RNAcentral lists this ribosomal RNA (551 nucleotides) under uncultured marine eukaryote. Its description in RNAcentral is "SSU rRNA". It matches the Rfam family "Eukaryotic small subunit ribosomal RNA", at positions 618 to 1183 of the family's 1831-position model. The record is from RNAcentral.
GUUAAAAAGCUCGUAGUUGGAUUUCUGCAGGAGUGACAAUGUCCGCCCGUGUGCGUGCGCAGCGGCGCCCCUGCAUCCUUCGGUUACCUUCGCUCGGCAUUCACUUGCCGGCGGUAGGCUCCGAAUAUUUACCUUGAGAAAAUUAGAGUGUUUCAGGCAGGCUUAGCCGGAAUACAUUAGCAUGGAAUAAUAGAAUAUGACUACAGGCUCUUUGUUGGUUCGAGGGACUGGAGUAAUGAUUAAUAGGGAUAGUUGGGGGCAUUAGUAUUUAAUUGUCAGAGGUGAAAUUCUCAGAUUAACUAAAGACUAACUUAUGCGAAAGCAUUUGCCAAGGAUGUUUUCAUUAAUCAAGAACGAAAGUUAGGGGAUCAAAGACGAUCAGAUACCGUCCUAGUCUUAACCAUAAACUAUGCCAACUCGGGAUCGGGGGCGUGUAAUUAUCAGCCUUCGGCACCGUAUGAGAAAUCAAAGUCUUUGGGUUCUGGGGAGAGUAUGGUCGCAAGGUUGAAACUUAAAGGAAUUGACGGAAGGGCACCACCAGGCGUGGAGCU